GGGAAGACAGAUGUGUGCCUCUGAAUAACCUUUCAGCGCCUUGGUUAUAGCAGCUGUAUUUCAGGUGAAAUCUGUUUUACAAUAGGCUAGUUUUGCAUUUUUUAGAACUUCUAUAGCGUUUCUAAUGUCUGCGGUGUUUUACUACAACUGUACACAAUAUUUGUGAGAUGAUUUGUAUCUAAUCGACCACUUCAUAUUGUUAUUGCUAUUAUUAUUUUUCCUUCAUUGAGCUGAUGGUUUUUUAAUUACUUAGAAUAGGAAGGAGGGAGAGAUGUCUACCCAUCCACCGAUCUCCUAUCCCAAAUCUUUGUGGAGAAGAGAGAAUAAAGUAGAGAGAGUUGUUGAUGAUAUUGGAAAGAGGUCGGCUUGAGGAGCGGAAAGUGCUCCUCACCUCCGAAAUCCGGGGAUGCCUGCACUUACUCAGAGCUCCCCACCCGCGCCGCGCCUUGCCAGGCCAGCUGCUAGCGCGACCCUACUUUAGCCCUUAUAGGCAAAGAAUUUUGCUUUUAUACGUGAUUGCUUUAACUGGAGACGACGACCUGACCGGGACACGCUGGCGACGGACUGGGUC
Molecule: long non-coding RNA, 571 nt
Filed under: Bos taurus (domestic cattle)
Lineage: Eukaryota; Metazoa; Chordata; Mammalia; Artiodactyla; Bovidae
Description: long non-coding RNA NONBTAT026588
Source: RNAcentral